ACUGAUCUUAUCUGGGCCGCCCGGUCGCAGUUGACCCUUCUCUCUCCCGUCACCGACGACCACGCAUCGGGCGGAGGCGAUGGAGAGCACCGUGGAGGCACUGAGCGCUGCCUAUGACGAGUUCGUAGCUGCGGCGGCGGCCGCCCUGGAGGCAAAGGAGCAGUCCGGCGGGCAGAAGACGCCCGUCACCGACGCCGCGCUCGAGGCCUUCAAGCAGCGGUGGGAACUCUUCCGCGUCGCCUGCGACCAGGCCGAGGAGUUCGUCGAGUCCAUGAAGCAGCGCAUCGGCUCCGAGUGCUUAGUCGACGAGGCAACCGGCGCCGCCCCCUCCAAGGCUGGCCGCCCUGCCACGGCACCCGGGAUCCCGCCCAUCAGCGCCGUCCGGCUCGAGCAGAUGAGCAAGGCCGUCAGGUGGCUCGUCAUCGAGCUCCAGAACGGGUCCGGGGUUGGCGCAGCCGCCGCCGCUGCGGCCCAUCCCCAUGUUUCCGCGCCCUUCGACGCCCGGUUCUCCGAGGACGCCGGGCAAUAGGUGCGCGUGAUCCCUUGUUAGGUGAGAGGAAGAGGCAAAAUGGUGUUCUCGGAGACAGGACAGCAUCUGCAUUCAGUAUUCAUGCAGAUAAUCUACUCAUAAGAAGAACAAAAAAAGUUAGCGUCCGAUCCAUCCAGAACGGAUAAUUCUUUGCGGCUCGAAGUGCUUAUUCCAGUGAUAACUUUAGAUGGCACUAAUUGAAUAUGAUUGUCUGGAAGUUUAGCAUGCACCUGGACAUUUCAACAGCCUCUCUAUCGGUGCCUCGGUAAGCUCCAUCCAACUCGGCCAUCAUGAAAUUCUUGGUCAAUCUGUUGAUUCCAAUUCCUUCCGUUAUAGUAUCAAAAGGGUUCUUCAGGCGCCGGCCCUCUGCCUCCUCCUUCGUAUACAUUACUCCUCUCGUGACCUUAUUGAACAGACCAGACCCCGGGGGAUCAAUAAGGAAGCACUUAAUAUUUGGAUUUUUUUCCUGGAUAAGAAAACAUCAAGAUAGUAGAAGGAUAAAAAAGAAGAGCAAAGCAUUAGAUAUAGCAUAAAAUCUAAUGUACAAACAAUGAUGAACCUUGAGAAACUGUGAUAUUCCAGCAAUCGUGCCACCUGUACCGGCAGCAGCAACAAAGGCAUGCAAUUUCCCUUGAGUUUGCUCCCAUAUCUCAGGACCAGUCCAUUCAUAGUGGGCCCUGAAGUUUGCUAGGUUUUCAAACUGAUCAGCAAAGAAACCACCUUUAUUAUCA
RNA transcript from Musa acuminata AAA Group (dessert banana), 1260 nucleotides. It is a transcript of the gene named mediator of RNA polymerase II transcription subunit 32-like, with no coding region annotated. The record is from RefSeq and is a predicted model, not a curated record. The transcript is spliced from 4 exons. NCBI's taxonomy places the organism in Eukaryota, Viridiplantae, Streptophyta, Magnoliopsida, Zingiberales, Musaceae.